This 420-nucleotide ribosomal RNA is filed under the name uncultured bacterium. Its description in RNAcentral is "bacterial SSU rRNA". It matches the Rfam family "Bacterial small subunit ribosomal RNA", at positions 355 to 772 of the family's 1533-position model. The record is from RNAcentral.
UAAGGAAUAUUGGUCAAUGGACGCAAGUCUGAACCAGCCAUGCCGCGUGGAGGAUGAAUGCCCUCUGGGUUGUAAGCUCCUUUUAUCUGGGAAGAAACCUGCUUUUUCUUGAGCAGCUGACGGUACCAGAGGAAUAAGCACCGGCUAACUCCGUGCCAGCAGCCGCGGUAAUACGGAGGGUGCAAGCGUUAUCCGGAUUCACUGGGUUUAAAGGGUGCGUAGGUGGGUUGGUAAGUCAGUGGUGAAAUCUCCAGGCUUAACCUGGAAACUGCCGUUGAUACUAUCAAUCUUGAAUAUCGCGUAGGUAAGCGGAAUAUGUCAUGUAGCGGUGAAAUGCUUAGAUAUGACAUAGAACACCAAUUGCGAAGGCAGCUUACUUCACGAUCAUUGACACUGAGGCACGAAAGCGUGGGGAGCAAA